This 771-nucleotide ribosomal RNA is filed under the name uncultured Actinomycetes bacterium. RNAcentral describes it as "bacterial SSU rRNA". It matches the Rfam family "Bacterial small subunit ribosomal RNA", at positions 96 to 880 of the family's 1533-position model. Lineage: Bacteria; Bacillati; Actinomycetota; Actinomycetes. The record is from RNAcentral.
UGGCGAACGGGUGAGUAACACGUGGGUGACCUGCCCUGCACUUCGGGAUAAGCCUGGGAAACUGGGUCUAAUACCGGAUAGGACCGCACCGUGAGGGUGUGGUGGAAAGUUUUUUCGGUGUGGGAUGGGCCCGCGGCCUAUCAGCUUGUUGGUGGGGUAAUGGCCUACCAAGGCGGCGACGGGUAGCCGGCCUGAGAGGGUGGACGGCCACAUUGGGACUGAGACACGGCCCAGACUCCUACGGGAGGCAGCAGUGGGGAAUAUUGCACAAUGGGCGGAAGCCUGAUGCAGCGACGCCGCGUGGGGGAUGACGGCCUUCGGGUUGUAAACUCCUUUCACCAUCGACGAAGGGUUUCUGACGGUAGAUGGAGAAGAAGCACCGGCUAACUACGUGCCAGCAGCCGCGGUAAUACGUAGGGUGCGAGCGUUGUCCGGAAUUACUGGGCGUAAAGAGCUCGUAGGUGGUUUGUCGCGUCGUCUGUGAAAUUCCGGGGCUUAACUCCGGGCGUGCAGGCGAUACGGGCAUAACUUGAGUACUGUAGGGGAGACUGGAAUUCCUGGUGUAGCGGUGAAAUGCGCAGAUAUCAGGAGGAACACCGGUGGCGAAGGCGGGUCUCUGGGCAGUAACUGACGCUGAGGAGCGAAAGCAUGGGGAGCGUACCAGGAUUAGAUACCUGGUAGUCCAUGCCGUAAACGGUGGGCGCUAGGUGUGGGUUUCCUUCCACGGGAUCCGUGCCGUAGCUUAACGCAUUAAGCGCCCCGCCUGGGGAG